This 510-nucleotide ribosomal RNA is filed under the name uncultured bacterium. Its description in RNAcentral is "partial 16S ribosomal RNA". It matches the Rfam family "Bacterial small subunit ribosomal RNA", at positions 28 to 523 of the family's 1533-position model. The record is from RNAcentral.
GACGAACGCUGGCGGCGUGCCUAAUACAUGCAAGUAGAACGCUGAAGGGGGAGCUUACUUCUCUGGAUGAGUUGCGAACGGGUGAGUAACGCGUAGGUAACCUGCCUGGUAGCGGGGGAUAACUAUUGGAAACGAUAGCUAAUACCGCAUAAGAGUAGAUGUUGCAUGACAUUUACUUAAAAGGUGCAAUUGCACCACUACCAGAUGGACCUGCGUUGUAUUAGCUAGUUGGUGGGUAACGGCUUACCAAGGCGACGAUACAUAGCCGACCUGAGAGGGUGAUCGGCCACACUGGGACUGAGACACGGCCCAGACUCCUACGGGAGGCAGCAGUAGGGAAUCUUCGGCAAUGGACGGAAGUCUGACCGAGCAACGCCGCGUGAGUGAAGAAGGUUUUCGGAUCGUAAAGCUCUGUUGUAAGAGAAGAACGAGUGUGAGAGUGGAAAGCUCACACUGUGACGGUAUCUUACCAGAAAGGGACGGCUAACUACGUGCCAGCAGCCGCGGUAA